AUUGAUAGAACUUUGGCCCAAAGUCACAU
This 29-nucleotide non-coding RNA is filed under the name Cricetulus griseus (Chinese hamster). The record is from RNAcentral. Lineage: Eukaryota; Metazoa; Chordata; Mammalia; Rodentia; Cricetidae.